UGAGCAUGUGGUUAAUUCGAAACAACGCGAAGAACCUUACCAGGUCUUGACAUCCCUGACAACCCGAGAGAUCGGGCGUUCCCCUUCGGGGGGACAGGGUGACAGGUGGUGCAUGGUUGUCGUCAGCUCGUGUCGUGAGAUGUUGGGUUAAGUCCCGCAACGAGCGCAACCCUCGACCUUAGUUGCCAGCAUUCAGUUGGGCACUCUAAGGUGACUGCCGGCUAAAAGUCGGAGGAAGGUGGGGAUGACGUCAAAUCAUCAUGCCCCUUAUGACCUGGGCUACACACGUGCUACAAUGGUUGGUACAACGAGUUGCGAGUCGGUGACGGCGAGCUAAUCUCUUAAAGCCAAUCUCAGUUCGGAUUGUAGGCUGCAACUCGCCUACAUGAAGUCGGAAUCGCUAGUAAUCGCGGAUCAGCACGCCGCGGUGAAUACGUUCCCGGGCCUU
RNAcentral lists this ribosomal RNA (448 nucleotides) under uncultured Anoxybacillus sp. RNAcentral describes it as "bacterial SSU rRNA". It matches the Rfam family "Bacterial small subunit ribosomal RNA", at positions 934 to 1382 of the family's 1533-position model. The record is from RNAcentral. Lineage: Bacteria; Bacillati; Bacillota; Bacilli; Caryophanales; Anoxybacillaceae.